UAGCAAUAAUCUAUAAGAGACAAAUUAAACUUGAUUAAGUUGACAAUUUA
Molecule: ribosomal RNA, 50 nt
Filed under: Plecotus auritus (brown big-eared bat)
Lineage: Eukaryota; Metazoa; Chordata; Mammalia; Chiroptera; Vespertilionidae
Description: partial 16S ribosomal RNA
Source: RNAcentral